AGUGAACGCUGGCGGUAGGCCUAACACAUGCAAGUCGAACGGCAGCACAGUAAGAGCUUGCUCUUACGGGUGGCGAGUGGCGGACGGGUGAGGAAUACAUCGGAAUCUACUUUUUCGUGGGGGAUAACGUAGGGAAACUUACGCUAAUACCGCAUACGACCUACGGGUGAAAGCAGGGGAUCUUCGGACCUUGCGCGAUUGAAUGAGCCGAUGUCGGAUUAGCUAGUUGGCGGGGUAAAGGCCCACCAAGGCGACGAUCCGUAGCUGGUCUGAGAGGAUGAUCAGCCACACUGGAACUGAGACACGGCCCAGACUCCUACGGGAGGCAGCAGUGGGGAAUAUUGGACAAGGGGCGCAAGCCUGAUCCAGCCAUACCGCGUGGGUGAAGAAGGCCUUCGGGUUGUAAAGCCCUUUUGUUGGGAAAGAAAAGAAGAAGGUUAAUACCCCGCUGUUCUGACGGUACCCAAAGAAUAAGCACCGGCUAACUUCG
This 490-nucleotide ribosomal RNA is filed under the name uncultured bacterium. Its description in RNAcentral is "partial 16S ribosomal RNA". It matches the Rfam family "Bacterial small subunit ribosomal RNA", at positions 29 to 505 of the family's 1533-position model. The record is from RNAcentral.